GCCUACAUGAAGCUGGAAUUGCUAGUAAUCACAGGUCAGCAUACUGUGGUGAAUACGUUCCCGGGCCUUGUACACACCGCCCGUCACACCAUGAGAGUUGAGAAUACCCGAAGUCCAUGUCAAAGUGGCCGAAGGUAGGCUUGAUGAUUGGGGUGAAGUCGUAACAAGGUACC
This 173-nucleotide ribosomal RNA is filed under the name uncultured bacterium. RNAcentral describes it as "partial 16S ribosomal RNA". It matches the Rfam family "Bacterial small subunit ribosomal RNA", at positions 1314 to 1500 of the family's 1533-position model. The record is from RNAcentral.